This 806-nucleotide long non-coding RNA is filed under the name Capsicum annuum. RNAcentral's name for it is "long non-coding RNA (CANN_LNC018543)". The record is from RNAcentral. Lineage: Eukaryota; Viridiplantae; Streptophyta; Magnoliopsida; Solanales; Solanaceae.
AGAAAAAAGGAAAAGGUAAGAAGUGGAUGAAAAAUGAAAUCCAGUUGUGUUGACACAGAGAUUGGAACCCUAACCACCCAAAAUUUCAUCAGCACUCUUGAGCAGCGCACCAACCAGCCACUUAUGGUUGUGGGUGCUCGUUUAUUAUUUUAUACUAAUAUCCGAAAAUAUCAGUACAAAUACACAUGUUCUGUGUGGGAGUCGGUGCGUGCUCGAGCACCCAUCCCACACAACGUGGGUCCGCUCCUGCAAGAACCAUCUACCAAACCAAGCUUAUUCGUCCGUAACAAAGCAACACUCAAUAAUGGAAACCAAAUUGAGAAGUUCUCAAUUCCUGUGAGUUGAAAAGAAACUAUUUGUAUGUCACUCACAUCAGAAGAAGAAAGAAACAGUGGAUGAUUAUAGUCAAGUCCACCUACUGCAUUCAAGUUUUCAGAACUUUUCCCUGAAAUGUUUGUGGAGUUUUCUGGAUUGACUCAAAAAUCAUGAGAAACACCACUUCCUUGAGAAGUUUCCAUUUCUUGAAUUGUAGCGAAAGCAAAAUUUUCAGAGAUUUAAACAGGGAAAGAUGCAGAACACAGUUUAAGAGAACUGUGAAAAAAGGAACAAUUUUGGAGAAUUGUUUAGACAGUAAAUGAAUAUGAAGAUCGAUCUUGAUCCAAUAACAAACCAAGAUUCAUCAAUUGCCGCUAGACUCUAAUACCAUGUUACAAUAAGAGAAUUGAGUAACCAAGAUCUUUCAAUCAAACAAUGAGAAUCAUGAAGAACACCUUAGAUAGUUAAUACAAGGGAGAGAAGAGAAGAAG